CUCUCUCUCUCUCUCUCUGUGUCUUUAGGGGCAAUGGAUCGGGUCCAUCUUCUAUUGCUAGGAUUACCUCUCUUCCUCUUGUGCACUGAUCUCAUCAACCUCUUUACUCCGCCUCCUAAACCUUUUCCUCACCACCACCACCACCACCAUAAACCUACGCCACCACCGGUUUCCCAUGAAACCCUAGAAACUCCGGCGCAGGAACAAGUUGUUGGAGGCAUUGGUCUCGGCAAUACGGUGAAGAUUGACUUUUGCUCUUCCUGUUCUUACAGGGGGACUGCGGUGACAAUGAAAAAGAUGUUGGAAACCCAGUUUCCUGGAAUUGAUGUUUUGUUGGCAAAUUAUCCCCCGUCACUACCCAAGCGCCUGUUGGCCAAGUUGGUGCCGGUAGUUCAGAUAGGAGUUAUUGCAAUUGUGAUGGCUGGUGAGCAGAUUUUUCCAAUGCUGGGCCUCAUGGCACCACCUCCUUGGUAUUAUUCUUUGCGUGCAAAUAAAUUUGGAACAAUGGCGUCGACUUGGCUACUUGGUAACGCACUGCAGUCCUUCCUCCAAAGCUCUGGAGCUUUUGAAGUUUACUGCAAUGAUGAAUUGGUUGGUGACUUAAACGUUGGCAUUCAUCUUUUUAGUUUUUGUUUUAAUUGUGUGUCUUUAAUGUUGCAUCAUCUGAAACUUUAUAAGUUUGAUCAUUUGGCAGCACAAAUGUGCUGUUGUUCUCCUUGCAAGCUUUUGCAUACUUGCAUUCUCAAUUUUAAUGAUCUUAUUGCCCAUUGCAAUUGUUAUUUAUAAUCCACAGGUUUGCAAUCAACUGAGCAUUUGAAAUCUUGUUUUAGUUCAUGAUGCCUCAGUUUGAAACUUGAUCUGUAUUUGAUUGAAACAAAUAUAUCAAAUAAUUUGCAUCUCAAUAUCUUUAUAUAUAAUUUAUUUGUUUUAUCCAUUGUAGGUUUUCUCUAAACUGAAGGAGGGGAGAUUUCCUGGAGAGAUUGAAUUAAAAGAUCUUGUUGGCAAAAGGUUGGCUAAUUCUGGAUUUGCAGAUAUGCUGAUGCAGUAAGUAUAUGGAGGCUUGAGACUGUCGUUAUGACAGUUGCGAUUCAGGCUGCUCUAACACUGGGUAGAUUGUCUGGGGCAGGGUUGCUUUUGGUGCAUGUAAAUUUGAACUUGCAUGUGUCUGUCACCUAUAUGAACAUUGUUGAGAACUGAAUUGCGGGUUUCAGCCUCAAUGCAGCUAUCCAUCUACAUUACAUGUAUGGCACUGUGAAUUUGAGAAUUCAUGGCUUCUUGUGUAUUCAAAUAAGAUAAAAUGAAUUAAAAUACG
This 1312-nucleotide unclassified non-coding RNA is filed under the name Hevea brasiliensis (rubber tree). Lineage: Eukaryota; Viridiplantae; Streptophyta; Magnoliopsida; Malpighiales; Euphorbiaceae. The record is from RNAcentral.